UACGGAGGGUGCAAGCCUUGAUCGGAAUUACUGGGCGUAAAGGGCGCGUAGGCGGAUAGGAAAGUCAGAUGUGAAAUUCCGGGGCUCAACCUCGGAGCUGCAUUUGAAACUGUCUAUCUAGAGUUCAGUUAGGGAAAACGGAAUUCCACGUGUAGCGGUGAAAUGCGUAGAUAUGUGGAAGAACACCGGUGGUGAAGACGGUUUUCUGGGCUGAUACUGACGCUGAGGCGCGAAAGCAAGGGGAGCAAACAGG
This 253-nucleotide ribosomal RNA is filed under the name uncultured bacterium. RNAcentral's name for it is "partial 16S ribosomal RNA". It matches the Rfam family "Bacterial small subunit ribosomal RNA", at positions 524 to 776 of the family's 1533-position model. The record is from RNAcentral.